AAUGCCAGAUGGCUCGACGUUUAUGUAUAAAAAAUGAAACCCUAUUAAGUAAACAUUUCCAUACUCUUGGGGUUAGGGAUACCUUUUCUAAGUAUGACAGGAGAGCUAGAAGCCAUAGAGGGAAUGGCUGGCUCUUUGUAGCCAAAACAAAAACAGAAAAAUGUCAAAAGAUGGAAAGACAAACCACAAACUGGAAAAGUAUUCCUCACAACUUACAGAUCAGAGAAAGGGUUAAUAUCCCUGUGGUACAAAGAACUCUCACAGGUCAAAUUUUUAAAGAGACGAAGGACAAAAACAUGCUCUUCAAAAGAGAAGCAGUUCAUAUGGCUAGUCACUGUAAAAAAUGCUCAACUUCACUGAUGAUGAAAAAUGAAAAUCUAAGCAUUAUUUAGAUAUCAUUUCUCACCAAUAGCCUGGCAAAGUUUUUACAUUUGGUAACAACGUAAAAGAAUGUCAAGAAACAGAGACUCUGCAGAGACUCUUGGUAGAGCGUACAUGGAUACUGCUGUCAUAGAGAACAAUUUGUCAGUCCCUGUCAAAAUUCUGAGUGUGUAGACGUUUGGCUUAGCACGUCUAAUUCUAGGAAUUUAUCUGAGAGAAAUACUUGGACACUUUUUCAAAGGUAUAUGUUCAAAAAUGUUCACAGCACUGUUUGAAAUGGCAGAGAAUUGGAAGCAACACUGACAUUGAUAUACAGAAAAUUCAAUGGGCCAGGCACAGUGGCCCACACCUGCAGUCCCAGCACUUGAGAGGCUGAGGUGGGUGGAUCUCUUGAGCUCAGGAGUUUGAGACAAGCCUGGGCAACACGACAAAACCCCAUCUCUACUAAAAAUUUAAAGAUUGGCUCGGUGCGGUGGUGUGCACAUGUAGUUCCAGCUCCACCUCCUGGAGGUGGAGGGCGGUUGGGAGGGUGCUGAGGUGGGAGGAUUGCUUAAGUCUAUGUCAAGACUGCUGUGAGCCUUGAUCAUACCACUGCACUCCAGCCUGGUGAGAGAGCAAGACCGUGACUCAAAAACAAAGAAAAUUGGAUGCAUAAAUAAGAGUGCCAGAUGUGCAGGUAAAUACCACGCAGCUGUUAAAGUAGGUCUGCAUGUGCUGACAUGGAAAGACAUGAAGGAGGGCUGUUGUGUGAAAAAACAAAUGGACAAAUAGGACAUGUCUAUGAUCCCAUCUUUUAAAACACAUGCAUGAUAUCAACAUGCAUACUCACAUCUGUUUAAAUGAAUCUGUGUGAGAGACAGAGACAGAGAGACAGGUACCAAACUGCUGAUGAUCACCUCUGCUGUGUGGGAUUGAGAGAGAUCCCUAAAAAAUUUUUUUUUCAUCAUGAAGUGAUGUUUACAUUUUUAAUAAUGUGCAUAUUACUUUUAUAACUAUAAGAUUAAAAUCAUACAUUAAAUGUUAUCCAUUUAUCACUGAUCUGUAAAGUAAUUAAAAUACAUCCUUUUUAUUUGUAAAGGUUUUUAAUUACAAAAACAAUAAAUGUUCAUUCCAGUAAAACAAGAAAAUCAGUAUAAACCAAGAAGCAAGUGAAGAACACAGUCCUUCUGCCCUGAAAGCAGCGCCCUUUGCACUUGCUGUUCAUCCUGCCAGGCCUUUCCCUUUGGGCACAGGCCUGUGUGUCAGGGUGGCUGGGGAAGAUUACAGGGCUUGGGCACUUUUGUGACCUGAUUUCCCUGCAGGUGAACCUUGGCUGGGCUGGCCAGUCAACACUCCUCCUCUUCAGCGUUUUCAGUUGCUGCACACCAUAAUGUAAUAAGCAUUGUAACUUACUAAUUAGUCCCUUUGCUAUUGAACUUUGGACCAUUUCCAAUUUCCCACUCCUGUAAUUGUGCUGAAGAAAAUCUCUGCAUCCAUGCAUCUCUAGGGCAACAGACUCCUAGAAGUGUGGUGUCUGGAUCAAAUUGUGUACAGAUUUUUGAAGUGUUGGUCACUUUUCUAUAUCAGAGGUCUCUGUCAAAGGUGAGCCUCGUUUGGGAAAUCAGGGCCUUGCAGAGAUGCUGGGGUCGAGACCCCAGGGAGAACAGGCAGGCGAGCUGGUAGUGGAGCAGAUCACAGCCCCUUGCAAGGAACCCCUGAGCCAGGAAGACUCCCUGCACCAGGCCUUAGGAGGCCUCUGCCUGCUCUGUAACUCGGCUUCUGAGCCAGGCCACUGGGCCCUGCCAUUCAUGGCAGAGGAGUGUACAGGUUGCCUGCUGGCUCUCUGCACACAGAGCCCCCCACCCCCUUGCCCCCUGAUCUAGAAAGAACAUCAGAGCAUCAAAGAUUGGAUUAUUGAGCUAGAUAGUCAAGGGACAACCUUGAACGUGUUUGUUCCAAGGGAGGUUCUUAGUUCGGAACCUGUAUGAGCUAGCCUAAGCCAAAGAAGUCUCUAUGAACCAUAUCCGGGGACUCAUGGAAACUGCAGGAACGUCAGAGCAUCAAGCUUGGGUUUGGAGCUGGAAACAGCACCCCACACCACUGCUCAGAUUCCUUCAGCCAUGACCCCCUGCCCCUGUCACCACCCCAAGCUGUGUGGCUGGUGCAUUCAGCUUCUCUGUGGAGAGGGCUCAGCCUGCCAUAACUCCAAGUGGGGAGGAGGGGUGCCAGUCCUCCCUCCUCUAAGUGUAAUGCCAGGGGAAAUCCCUCGAUCUCAGGCUGUCGGUGAGGCUGCAGUCACUAGCCUAUCUUUUGCCUCUAGGGAUGGAGCCCCCCAAACAGAAAAUAUCAAUGCUCAUACGAAGGAAACUCGCUGGGCUCUCCCUGAAGGAAGAGAGUGAGAAACCCCUGAUUGAACGUGGAAGCAGGAAGUGGCCAGGGAUCAAACCCACUGAAGUCACCAUCCAAAACAAGAUUCUUCUCCGGCCAACAUCAUCGAUAUCCACCACCAAAACCACCCUGGGCCACCUGGCGGCUGUGGAAGCCCGAGAUGCUGUGUACCUGAAAUAUUUAGCAUCAUUUGAGGAGGAGCUGAAGAGGAUCCAGGAUGACUGCACAUCUCAGAUGAAGGAGGCUCAGCGCUGGAAGGACAGCUGGAAGCAGUCCCUGCACACUAUCCAGAGCCUGUAUGUGUGACCCUCCACCCCACCAUGAAUAAACGCUUUCUUAUACAGA
RNAcentral lists this small RNA (3093 nucleotides) under Pongo abelii (Sumatran orangutan). Its description in RNAcentral is "retained intron". The record is from RNAcentral. Lineage: Eukaryota; Metazoa; Chordata; Mammalia; Primates; Hominidae.